Molecule: ribosomal RNA, 468 nt
Filed under: uncultured bacterium
Lineage: Bacteria
Description: partial 16S ribosomal RNA
Rfam family: Bacterial small subunit ribosomal RNA
Source: RNAcentral
GAUGAACGCUGGCGGCGUGCUUAACACAUGCAAGUCGAACGGAAAGGCCCUGCUCUUGUGGGGUGCUCGAGUGGCGAACGGGUGAGUAACACGUGAGUAAACUGCCCCUGACUUUGGGAUAACUUCAGGAAAAUGGGGCUAAUAUCGGAUAGGAGCUCUUGAUGCAUGGUGGGGGUUGGAAAGUUUCGGCGGUUGGGGAUGGACUCGCGGCGUAUCAGCUUGUUGGUGAGGUAGUGGCUUACCAAGGCUUUGACGGGUAGCCGGCCUGAGAGGGUGACCGGCCUCAUUGGGACUGAGAUACGGCCCAGACGCCUACGGGAGGCAGCGGUGGGAAAUAUUGCACAAUGGGCGGAAGCCUGAUGCAGCAACGCCGCGUGCGGAAUGACGUCCUUCGAGUUGUAAACCGCUUUCGCCUGUGACGAAGCGUGAGUGACGGUAAUGAGUAAAGAAGCACCGGCUAACUACGUG